ACACAUUUAGCUCAGUUGGCAGAGUGCUUACCUCGCAAGCACAAGACCAUGGGUUCAAUCCCUGACCCCACAAUAUAUA
This 79-nucleotide transfer RNA is filed under the name Marmota monax (woodchuck). RNAcentral describes it as "tRNA.Ala". The record is from RNAcentral. Lineage: Eukaryota; Metazoa; Chordata; Mammalia; Rodentia; Sciuridae.